UACGUAGGCGGCGAGCGUUGUCCGGAAUUAUUGGGCGUAAAGGGAGCGCAGGUGGGAAUGUAAGUCUUUCUUAAAAGUGCGGGGCUCAACCCCGUGAUGGGAAAGAAACUAUAUUUCUUGAGUGCAGGAGAGGAAAGCGGAAUUCCUAGUGUAGCGGUGAAAUGCGUAGAUAUUAGGAGGAGCACCAGUGGCGAAAGCGGCUUUCUGGACGACAACUGACGCUGAGGCGCGAAAGCCAGGGGAGCAAACGGG
Molecule: ribosomal RNA, 252 nt
Filed under: uncultured microorganism
Description: partial small subunit ribosomal RNA
Rfam family: Bacterial small subunit ribosomal RNA
Source: RNAcentral